AUGUUGUUAUUAGUAGUCCUCAGAGGUGUCCAGUCAGAGGUCCAGUUGGAGGAGUCUGGAGGGGAUGUGAGAAGACCUGGAGACUCCCUCCGUCUCUCCUGCCAAGGCUCUGGAUUCACCUUCAGCAGCUACUGGAUGAGCUGGGUGAGGCAGUAUCCGGGGAAAGGACUGGAAUGGGUGGCAGACAUGGAUGCAGGCUCUAGCACUUACUAUUCGGACAAAGUCAAGGGACGCUUCACCAUCUCCAGGGACAAUGCCAAAAGCCAGCUGUAUCUGCAAAUGAACAACCUCACGCCAGAGGACACCGGACUCUAUUACUGCACGAGAGACACAGUGAGAGGAAGUGAAUCUGAAGCCAGGCAAAAACUCCCCAUUCCUCAGAGCAGCUCUGUGAGUUCUUCCAUGAAUCACAGCUUCAACUGGUACACUGAAAUUGUGAAGAAUCGUACAGAAAAUAUGUAA
Python bivittatus (Burmese python) is the source of this 462-nucleotide non-coding RNA. NCBI's taxonomy places the organism in Eukaryota, Metazoa, Chordata, Lepidosauria, Squamata, Pythonidae. The record is from the annotation of a RefSeq genome assembly.